GCUCUAACUAAUUUAAAUUUUAGAUUUAUUAGGGUUUAGGCGUCGUCUAUUAACCGACUCUGGUUAGUAGAAGCGGUCGUUGAUUAUUUACCACUUGCAUCAAACUCGCAAAGUCGCAACUGCUUUCUCUAAACUUCCUCCCACUGAACUGUUUACUCGUUUUUUAGAAGGUUUUUGCGAACCGGCGAAACACGCACCGCCACCACUGAACUGCAUUGAAGGAAUUUCGGCGACAGGCGACCUAAACCACCCUACCGGCGGUGGCCAACACACACCACCGUACGCCGGCGCCGCGAAAUUCAUUACUCCUCCUCCGCGCGUCUUCCUCCAGUCCAGUCCAUACAUUCUCUCUUUGGUGUUUGGGAUGAAUGUCUGAAACACAUAUUGCCUUUGCAGCUAUCUCAUUGCUUCCAUGGGUUUGCAAGUAAUAUGGAGCUUUGGCCUUGCGUUGAUGGAUGCGUAUGCCCUUGCAAAGAAGAGAGUACUCCAUAAUCCAAUACUUGUCAGCCUUUUUGUAAUUGGUUGAGCACGAUAUGGGCUGAAACAGCUGAUAAUGCUCGGUCGGCAGCUCGAAGUUUUGUUCUUGGUGGCCUAUCUGAGAAACAUCAUGGUUUAAACAACUUCUGGACUACGAGAAAAAUGAUGUAUGCAUUCCUAACAGGUGCUUUUUGUUUUUGCACUUUCAGCUCAGUUCUGGCAGUGUAUGUUGAACCAAAAACAAAUGAUUCCCUUAAUCGAGGAAUUGAAGCAAUUAUGGGAUGUUGGAGCAACGACUUGAUUUCCCGACACCGGGAUCUAUUUUGCUUACAUAUAAUAAUCUAGAUAGUUUGUCUAAUUAUAGACAUUUAGUGUCUAUAUUUAUCGGCAUCCACCUUAUUACUUUUUAGAUUUGUCGAUAUAUAUUUUUGUAGAACUCGACUUCAACUUUAUUCCUCGAUAUCGGGAUGUAUUUUGUGUAUAUAAAUCUAAUUUAUUCAUGUUUAAA
RNA transcript from Beta vulgaris subsp. vulgaris (sugar beet), 985 nucleotides. RefSeq lists it as uncharacterized. The transcript has 4 exons. The record is from RefSeq and is a predicted model, not a curated record. Lineage: Eukaryota; Viridiplantae; Streptophyta; Magnoliopsida; Caryophyllales; Amaranthaceae.